RNAcentral lists this ribosomal RNA (495 nucleotides) under uncultured bacterium. RNAcentral's name for it is "partial 16S ribosomal RNA". It matches the Rfam family "Bacterial small subunit ribosomal RNA", at positions 28 to 507 of the family's 1533-position model. The record is from RNAcentral.
GACGAACGCUGGCGGCGUGCCUAAUACAUGCAAGUAGAACGCUGAAGGAGGAGCUUGCUUCUCUGGAUGAGUUGCGAACGGGUGAGUAACGCGUAGGUAACCUGCCUGGUAGCGGGGGAUAACUAUUGGAAACGAUAGCUAAUACCGCAUAAUAGUAGAUGUUGCAUGACAUUUGCUUAAAAGUUGCAAUUGCAUCACUACCAGAUGGACCUGCGUUGUAUUAGCUAGUUGGUGAGGUAACGGCUCACCAAGGCAACGAUACAUAGCCGACCUGAGAGGGUGAUCGGCCACACUGGGACGGAGACACGGCCCAGACUCCUACGGGAGGCAGCAGUAGGGAAUCUUCGGCAAUGGACGGAAGUCUGACCGAGCAACGCCGCGUGAGUGAAGAAGGUUUUCGGAUCGUAAAGCUCUGUUGUAAGAGAAGAACGAGUGUGAGAGUGGAAAGUUCACACUGUGACGGUAUCUUACCAGAAAGAGACGGCUAACUACGUG